Molecule: ribosomal RNA, 264 nt
Filed under: uncultured Oscillospiraceae bacterium
Lineage: Bacteria; Bacillati; Bacillota; Clostridia; Eubacteriales; Oscillospiraceae
Also listed under: 1 other name
Description: partial 16S ribosomal RNA
Rfam family: Bacterial small subunit ribosomal RNA
Source: RNAcentral
UCCAAGUGAAGCAGAGGACAGUGGCGGACGGGUGAGUAACGCGUGAGGAACCUGCCUUUCAGAGGGGGACAACAGUUGGAAACGACUGCUAAUACCGCAUGACACAUUGGGGUCGCAUGGCCUUGAUGUCAAAGAUUUAUCGGCAUAAGAUGGGCCUGCGUCUGAUUAGCUAGUUGGUGAGGUAACGGCCCACCAAGGCGACGAUCAGUAGCCGGACUGAGAGGUUGACCGGCCACAUUGGGACUGAGAUACGGCCCAGACUCC